This is a long non-coding RNA of Acipenser ruthenus (sterlet), 365 nucleotides long. RefSeq lists it as uncharacterized. Lineage: Eukaryota; Metazoa; Chordata; Actinopteri; Acipenseriformes; Acipenseridae. The transcript has 4 exons. The record is from RefSeq and is a predicted model, not a curated record.
UAUCCCAUCCUGCUAUGCUGCCAUCUGGGCUACCUGGACCUGGUAUCGGUUUGCAGGUGUGUUACUUGGCAUUUCUACUGAUUUUGCUGGUGGAUUCACAGCUGGGGCUGUAGCUUUCUUGGUAAUUAAUGGCUUCCUAAUGCUUAUAGGUGCCUAUGUAAAUGUUGUGCUGCUGUUGCUGACUCUUGUCAUGGAGGUGAUUGUGGUGUGUUUCCUGCUCUCCACACUGGGCAGACUGCCUUACCAACUGGAAAUUGCGAUGCUGGCCAUCUUCUCUUUGAUCUGUUUGUAUGGUACUCUGGCCUCCCUUGCAAAUUCCAUCUUCACAAAGGAGCUGCUGCCUCUCGGGCCCCCGCUGCUGAAGG